This is a long non-coding RNA of Pipra filicauda (Wire-tailed manakin), 648 nucleotides long. RefSeq lists it as uncharacterized. The record is from RefSeq and is a predicted model, not a curated record. Lineage: Eukaryota; Metazoa; Chordata; Aves; Passeriformes; Pipridae. The transcript is spliced from 4 exons.
ACAAACACCUUGACAUUGCAAUUAACAUAUGCAAAUAUCCCAGCCACCCUGGGGGCACCUGUCCAUCGCCAGGGUACAUCGAGUUCACAGCGCACACAGCAGAAAUGUCUGAGGCCUCUUGAAGUAUUACAUGUGAGAGGGGAGAGACUUCUAAACAGCUUGGACGCCCUUUCUUCUUUCUGGAGAUGGAUAAAAGACAUGGAGAAUUCUGUGCUGAUGAGACAGGGUUGUCAGUCAUUGCACUGUAACGAUACAGUUCAGACAAUGCCAGUGAAAACUUCCUCUGCCAGCGUGGAGGAUGUGUCUUGACAUGGAGCAGAGUGCCGCUAGCAGUGGGAGAACAGGAGCAGCUUUCCGCACCAGCCCUUGCAGGACCAAAUCCCACCCCCCCAAGUACAGCAGCACAUUAUGCAUGCCCGUGCUCCCGGCCAGGGCGGCAGCAUCCCGUGGGGGGUUGCAGGUCGCCUGUGCCAGCCGUGCCAUGUGGAUGGAGCACAAGGAGCCAGUCUCUCUGCAUGAAGCCCACAUCAGCCCAAACUCUCCGACGCCCUGUUGCUACCCUCCCUCCCUGGCCCGUUUCUCGCUGUAUGCGCGAGUCUCGCGCCCUGUGGACGGCUGGUAAUUAAAAAACCUUGGAGGGGGAUAUUA